Molecule: ribosomal RNA, 403 nt
Filed under: uncultured bacterium
Lineage: Bacteria
Description: bacterial SSU rRNA
Rfam family: Bacterial small subunit ribosomal RNA
Source: RNAcentral
UGGGGAAUAUUGCACAAUGGGGGAAACCCUGAUGCAGCGACGCCGCGUGAGUGAAGAAGUAUUUCGGUAUGUAAAGCUCUAUCAGCAGGGAAGAUAAUGACGGUACCUGACUAAGAAGCCCCGGCUAACUACGUGCCAGCAGCCGCGGUAAUACGUAGGGGGCAAGCGUUAUCCGGAUUUACUGGGUGUAAAGGGAGCGUAGGCGGCUAGGCAAGUCAGAUGUGAAAGCCCAGGGCUCAACCCUGGGACUGCAUUUGAAACUGCUUAGCUAGAGUGCAGGAGAGGUAAGUGGAAUUCCUAGUGUAGCGGUGAAAUGCGUAGAUAUUAGGAGGAACACCAGUGGCGAAGGCGGCUUACUGGACUGUAACUGACGCUGAGGCUCGAAAGCGUGGGGAGCAAACAG